GCGUGCGUGAAGAAGGCCCUAGGGUUGUAAAGCGCUUUCGGCGGGGAAGAUGAUGACGGUACCCGCAGAAGAAGCCCCGGCUAACUCCGUGCCAGCAGCCGCGGUAAUACGGAGGGGGCAAGCGUUGUUCGGAAUUACUGGGCGUAAAGGGCGCGUAGGCGGACAGUCAAGUCAGGGGUGAAAGGCCUGGGCUCAACCUGGGAAUUGCCUUUGAAACUGACGGUCUAGAGUCCGAGAGAGGAUAGCGGAAUUCCCAGUGUAGAGGUGAAAUUCGU
RNAcentral lists this ribosomal RNA (275 nucleotides) under uncultured bacterium. Its description in RNAcentral is "partial 16S ribosomal RNA". It matches the Rfam family "Bacterial small subunit ribosomal RNA", at positions 399 to 691 of the family's 1533-position model. The record is from RNAcentral.